This 477-nucleotide ribosomal RNA is filed under the name uncultured bacterium. RNAcentral's name for it is "bacterial SSU rRNA". It matches the Rfam family "Bacterial small subunit ribosomal RNA", at positions 15 to 518 of the family's 1533-position model. The record is from RNAcentral.
GAUUCUGGCUCAGGAUUAACGCUGGCGGCGUGCCUAACACAUGCAAGUCGAACGGACGUCUUCGGACGUCAGUGGCGAACGGGUGAGUAACGCGUAGGUAAUGUGCCUCUGCGCUGCGAAUAACAGCCUGAAAAGGCUGCUAAUACGGAAUGGUCCUCUCGGGGGGCAUCCCCCCUUGAGGUAAAGAUUUAUCGCGCGGAGAUCAGCCUGCGUCCUAUUAGUUAGUUGGCGGGGUAACGGCCCACCAAGACGACGGUGGGUAACUGGUCUGAGAGGAUGAACAGUCACACUGGAACUGAGAACGGUCCAGACUCCUACGGGAGGCAGCAGUGAGGAAUUUUGCGCAAUGGAGGGAACUCUGACGCAGCAACGCCGCGUGAGUGAUGACGGCCUUCGGGUUGUAAAGCUCUGUCGAGAGGGACGAGUAGGGACGGUACCUCUCAAGAAAGCCCCGGCUAACUAUGUGCCAGCCGCCGC